Cucurbita moschata (crookneck pumpkin) is the source of this 1249-nucleotide long non-coding RNA. RefSeq lists it as uncharacterized. The transcript has 2 exons. The record is from RefSeq and is a predicted model, not a curated record. Lineage: Eukaryota; Viridiplantae; Streptophyta; Magnoliopsida; Cucurbitales; Cucurbitaceae.
AGGGUGUGGAAACCUCUUCCUAGCAGACACGUUUUAAAACCUUGAGGGAAGCCCAAAAGGGAAAGCUCAAAAAGGUCAAUAACUAGCGGACUCGGGCUGUUACAUUUCUUCUCAUAAAGAUAGGUCUCCUUUCCAAGGAUUGGAUGAUGACUGUACUGAAAGUUUGUGGUGGUGCAUAUUGAGAUGCCCCCAUUUUUAAUACCUUUUAACUUGUUGCAUCUCAGCAAAGAUUGAAGCAGGAUGAGAUAAAAGCUUUCUUCAUGGCUUACCAUGUCUCCAACAUUAUAACAGGUUCUCUCUUACGCUUUACUGGAUCCCUUCUCAUUUUUCUUGCAUCUCUAAUUAGCGAGAAGUCGAUCAGAACAAUUACAUACUAUAGUUUUCAAUGGUGCCUUUCUGGAAGUAUAUGGCUGAAUAUUUGUUCUAUGUUUAGGAUUCAGAUUCUCAAUUCCUGUUUUUUGGUGCUUGUCCUGGUUUUUGAUCAUCCUAUACUCUUUGCCUUUGAAUUCCUUAACUACUGAUGAUGAUAUUUUGAUGGUUAUUCUGGACGACGCGUUUUCUUUUCUCCUUCUUCUAGCUCGAUCGACCGUGUUUAAUUCUUAGAUAGGCUGCCCAGAAUCUGGCAUCAGCUUAUUCACUCAGGCUGUUCCCUUAUGUACUACUCAAUUCUUCUCUACUGGUUGUUUUGGCUAUCAAGAUCUAAUAAAUGGAACUCUACAGUAAACGGAGUGCUUUAUGGGAGUAUCGCAACGCGAAAGUCAGCACUCGGUCGUCUUCAACUCAGUCUUGAAAGCUAAUGUGAACUGAAGCCCUGCAAUAGUUCUCAUAAUGAAUGAAAAAAGUCGGGUUCGUUUCGAAAGGCAUUCUCUAUUUGAUGAGGAUGAGAACUAGCUACGAAUCGGGAUCGAAAACAUAAUUAGUCAUAACUCGUAGAACAACCAGCUUAAAUCCUCAACUAAGACUGCUUUUAAGGAUGAAUCAAUAGAUGCUCUGAGGCUCUGAAGAUGCGUAUAGUACCUAGAUGAUAUCAUUAUAGCUGUUCAUUAGUUAUAGACUGCCAUUGGGAAAACUCUGUUCUUUAUGUGUCUGAAGAUCUAUGGGGGGCCUCAAACAGGGUGUGGCUGUAGCGUCUUGAUGAUGCCACUGUUACCAGUUUCGUCUCUGCAUGUUAUUGUCUUAGAUAUUAAACUAUCGCCAUGUGCUCGAGGGUCGAGCUAUCUUUUCCUACAGUCAACUUCAAAUUUAAUGA